Molecule: ribosomal RNA, 2873 nt
Filed under: Parabacteroides distasonis str. 3776 D15 i
Lineage: Bacteria; Pseudomonadati; Bacteroidota; Bacteroidia; Bacteroidales; Tannerellaceae
Description: bacterial LSU rRNA
Rfam family: Bacterial large subunit ribosomal RNA
Source: RNAcentral
AAAGUAAGCAAGGGCAGACGGUGGAUGCCUUGGCUCUCGGAGGCGACGAAGGACGUGAUAAGCUGCGAAAAGCUCGGGGGAGGCGCAAAUAGCCGUUGAUCCCGGGAUAUCCGAAUGGGGCAACCCGGCAGGCUGAAGGCCUGUCAUCCCGUAAGGGAGGCGAACGUGGGGAACUGAAACAUCUAAGUACCCAUAGGAGGAGAAAAUAAACAAUGAUUCCGUAAGUAGUGGCGAGCGAACACGGAAGAGCCCAAACCCAUGUCGUCUAGGCGACACGGGGGUUGUAGGACCACGACGUGGCAAGAUAGAGUCAAGUGGAACGCCUUGGAAAAGGCGGUCAUAGAGGGUGAAAACCCCGUACACGACUGACGAUUGAAGCCUAGUGGUAUCCUGAGUAGCGCGGGGCACGAGAAAUCUUGCGUGAAACAGCGGGGCCCAUCCCGUAAGGCUAAAUACUCCCGAGAGACCGAUAGCGAACCAGUACCGUGAGGGAAAGGUGAAAAGAACCCCGAGCAGGGGAGUGAAAUAGACCCUGAACCCGUCUGCCUACAAGCGGUCGGAGCAUAGCAAUAUGUGACGGCGUGCCUUUUGCAUAAUGAACCUACGAGUUACCUUCCCCGGCAAGGUUAAGUACCUAAGGUACGGAGCCGAAGCGAAAGCGAGUCUGAAGAGGGCGGCCAGUCGGGGGGGGUAGACGCGAAACCGAGUGAUCUACCCUUGGCCAGGUUGAAGGUUGGGUAACACCAACUGGAGGACCGGAUGGGUAAGCGUUGAAAAGCUUUCCAAUGAGCUGAGGGUAGGGGUGAAAGGCUAAUCAAACUCGGAGAUAGCUCGUACUCCCCGAAAUGCAUUUAGGUGCAGCCUCUUUAUAGUAUAUCGUGAGGUAGAGCGACUGAUUGGAUGCGAGGGCUUCACCGCCUAUCAAGUCCAGAUAAACUCCGAAUGCGCGAUAUAUAUUUAAAGGGAGUGAGGGCGCGGGUGCUAAGGUCCGUGUCCGAGAGGAGAAGAAUCCAGACCACCGGCUAAGGCCCCCAAAUGAUCGUUGAGUUGAACUAACGAGGUCGGAUCGCAGAGACAGCUAGGAUGUUGGCUUGGAAGCAGCCAUUCAUUUAAAGAGUGCGUAACAGCUCACUAGUCGAGCGAUCUGGCGUGGAUAAUAAUCGGGCAUAAACGAUCUGCCGAAGCCGUGGAUGUCGUAAGACAUGGUAGGGGAGCAUUCCAUGCGGCGUCGAAGAUGAGGGAUGACCCUUGUUGGAGCGCAUGGAAAAGCAAAUGUAGGUAUGAGUAACGAUAAGGGGGGCGAGAAACCCCCCCGCCGAAAGACCAAGGUUUCCUGAUCAACGCUAAUCGGAUCAGGGUGAGUCGGGACCUAAGGCAAAGCCGAACGGCGACGCCGAUGGAAGAAUGGGUUAAUAUUCCCAUACUGCCUCAUGGAGUGACGUGGAGACGGAGAAGUGACAGUCCUGCCGGCUGACGGAAUAGCCGGUUGAAGGGUGUAGAUAUUGAUUCCCGUAGGCAAAUCCGCGGGGAGAGUCGAACCUGACAGUAUACCGAGUACUUGUACGAGGUAAUAUGGACGUAACCAUGCUCCCAAGAAAAUCCGCUAAACUUAUCCAUGCGGCACCCGUACCGUAAACGGACACACGUGGUCGGGUUGAGAAUACUGAGGCGCUCGAGUGAUUCACGGUUAAGGAACUAGGCAAAUUGACCCUGUAACUUCGGGAUAAAGGGUCCUCGUCGUAAGGCGAGGCGCAGAGAAUAGGUCCAGGCAACUGUUUAACAAAAACACAUGGCUAUGCUAAAUGGAAACAUGACGUAUAUAGCCUGACACCUGCCCGGUGCUGGAAGGUUAAGAGGAGAUGUCAUCGCAAGAGAAGCGUUGAAUUGAAGCCCCAGUAAACGGCGGCCGUAACUAUAACGGUCCUAAGGUAGCGAAAUUCCUUGUCGGGUAAGUUCCGACCUGCACGAAUGGUGUAAUGAUCUGGACACUGUCUCAACCGUGAGCUCGGUGAAAUUGUAGUAUCGGUGAAGAUGCCGAUUACCCGCGAUGGGACGAAAAGACCCCGUGAACCUUUACUAUAGCUUUACAUUGAAUUUGGGCAGACGAUGUGUAGGAUAGGCCGGAGGCUUUGAAGGGGGUACGCCAGUAUCCUUGGAGCCGCCGUUGAAAUACGGCCCUUCGGUUGUUUGAGUUCUAACUCCUAGGCAGGAGGACACUGUAUGGUGGGUAGUUUGACUGGGGUGGUCGCCUCCAAAAGCGUAACGGAGGCUUCUAAAGGUGCCCUCAGACCGAUUGGUAACCGGUCGCAGAGUGUAAUGGCAUAAGGGCGCUUGACUGGGAGAGAUACAACUCGAUCAGGUAGGAAACUAGAGCAUAGUGAUCCGGUGGUUCCGCAUGGAAGGGCCAUCGCUCAAAGGAUAAAAGGUACUCCGGGGAUAACAGGCUGAUCAUUCCCAAGAGCUCAUAUCGACGGAAUGGUUUGGCACCUCGAUGUCGGCUCGUCACAUCCUGGGGCUGGAGAAGGUCCCAAGGGUUGGGCUGUUCGCCCAUUAAAGUGGCACGCGAGCUGGGUUCAGAACGUCGUGAGACAGUUCGGUCUCUAUCUAUCGUGGGCGCAGGAGAUUUGAGGGGCUCUGACACUAGUACGAGAGGACCGUGUUGGACGUACCACUGGUUUACCGGUUGUCCCGCCAGGGGCACCGCCGGGUAUCUAAGUACGGAUCGGAUAAGUGCUGAAAGCAUCUAAGUACGAAGCCGGCCUCAAGAUUAGAUCUCCCUGAAGGGUGGUUAUAGACGAUGACCUUGAUAGGCCACAGGUGUAAGGGCGGCGACGUCCGAGCCGAGUGGUACUAAUAGCCCGGGACUUUCCUCA